Molecule: ribosomal RNA, 107 nt
Filed under: Tepidisphaera sp.
Lineage: Bacteria; Pseudomonadati; Planctomycetota; Phycisphaerae; Tepidisphaerales; Tepidisphaeraceae
Also listed under: 1 other name
Source: RNAcentral
GUCGGUGAACAUGAGCGCUGGGAAACACCUGUUCCCAUCCCGAACACAGCAGUUAAGCCAGCGCUGCCGAUGAUACUGCACUGCGGGAAAGUAGGUCAUCGCCGACU